AGGGAUAGGUGACCUCCUCUUCACCAUCUAGAUGAACUCAAUGAGUGAGUACAUCACCCCAGCACCACUGUGGGCCAAUGGAUUAGAUAUCUCUUCCAAGCCCCCUAUCCAGACCACCAAGAUCAAAUCACUACUGUUCAUUUCUGAUUUGGCAUUUAAUCACAGUCACGGCAUCCACCGUGACUCAAAUCUGGGUUGCGUGGUUGGAAGACAACGGUCCGUUCCACUGGGCUACCACCAUGAUGGCUGUCUUUAACAUCUGCCUCUAAAAGCAUAGCUUGUGUUGACUCUAGAAUCUUAACAGGUUAAUAUGGAUGGACUGAAAAUACA
RNAcentral lists this long non-coding RNA (330 nucleotides) under Elaeis guineensis (African oil palm). RNAcentral describes it as "long non-coding RNA (EGUI_LNC016807)". Lineage: Eukaryota; Viridiplantae; Streptophyta; Magnoliopsida; Arecales; Arecaceae. The record is from RNAcentral.